Molecule: ribosomal RNA, 480 nt
Filed under: uncultured bacterium
Lineage: Bacteria
Description: bacterial SSU rRNA
Rfam family: Bacterial small subunit ribosomal RNA
Source: RNAcentral
AACGAACGCUGGCGGCGUGCUUAACACAUGCAAGUCGAACGGGGUGUUUAUUUCGGUAAACACCAAGUGGCGAACGGGUGAGUAACGCGUAAGCAAUCUACCUUCAAGAUGGGGACAACACUUCGAAAGGGGUGCUAAUACCGAAUGAAUGUAAAAGUUUCGCAUGAAGCAUUUACUAAAGGAGGCCUCUGACAUAAGCUUCCGCUUGAAGAUGAGCUUGCGUCUGAUUAGCUAGUUGGUGAGGGUAAAGGCCCACCAAGGCGACGAUCAGUAGCCGGUCUGAGAGGAUGAACGGCCACAUUGGGACUGAGACACGGCCCAGACUCCUACGGGAGGCAGCAGUGGGGAAUCUUCCGCAAUGGGCGAAAGCCUGACGGAGCAACGCCGCGUGAACGAAGAAGGUCUUAGGAUCGUAAAGUUCUGUUGUUAGGGGCGAAGGGCGAUAGUUUAAAUAAGGCUAUUGUUGACGGUACUAACGAG